GCAUAUCAAUAAGCGGAGGAAAAGAAACCAACAGGGAUUGCCCUAGUAACGGCGAGUGAAGCGGCAAUAGCUCAAAUUUGAAAGCUGGCCUUCUGGUCCGCAUUGUAAUUUGUAGAGGAUGCUUUUAGGCAGCCGCCGGUCUAAGUUCCUUGGAACAGGACGUCAUAGAGGGUGAGAAUCCCGUAUGUGACCGGCUCAGGCACCUUCUGUAAAGCUCCUUCGACGAGUCGAGUUGUUUGGGAAUGCAGCUCUAAAUGGGAGGUAAAUUUCUUCUAAAGCUAAAUACUGGCGAGAGACCGAUAGCGCACAAGUAGAGUGAUCGAAAGAUGAAAAGCACUUUGGAAAGAGAGUUAAAAAGCACGUGAAAUUGUUGAAAGGGAAGCGCUUGCAAUCAGACUUGCCCCAGGGUGUUCAACCGGUCUUCUGACCGGCCCACUCAUUCUGGGGCAGGCCAGCAUCAGUUUUGGCGGCCGGAUAAAGGCCUUGGGAAUGUGGCUUCCUCUUCGGGGGAAGUGUUAUAGCCCAGGGUGUAAUACGGCCAGCCGGGACUGAGGUCCGCGCUUCGGCUAGGAUGCUGGCGUAAUGGUUGUAAGCGGCCCGUCUUGAAACACGGACCAAGGAGUCUAACAUCUAUGCGAGUGUUAGGGUGUCAAACCCUUACGCGUAAUGAAAGUGAACGGAGGUGGGAACCCGCAAGGGUGCACCAUCGACCGAUCCUGAUGUCUUCGGAUGGAUUUGAGUAAGAGCAUAGCUGUUGGGACCCGAAAGAUGGUGAACUAUGCCUGAAUAGGGUGAAGCCAGAGGAAACUCUGGUGGAGGCUCGCAGCGGUUCUGACGUGCAAAUCGAUCGUCAAAUUUGGGUAUAGGGGCGAAAGACUAAUCGAACCAUCUAGUAGCUGGUUCCUGCCGAA
This 911-nucleotide ribosomal RNA is filed under the name Rhizosphaera merioides. RNAcentral's name for it is "LSU rRNA". It matches the Rfam family "Eukaryotic large subunit ribosomal RNA", at positions 38 to 965 of the family's 3401-position model. The record is from RNAcentral. Lineage: Eukaryota; Fungi; Ascomycota; Dothideomycetes; Dothideales; Dothideaceae.